This is a long non-coding RNA of Salvelinus sp. IW2-2015, 444 nucleotides long. RefSeq lists it as uncharacterized. NCBI's taxonomy places the organism in Eukaryota, Metazoa, Chordata, Actinopteri, Salmoniformes, Salmonidae. The record is from RefSeq and is a predicted model, not a curated record.
CAUAAAGUACUUUGCAGCCACUUAGUGUGGAGUGGACACCAGGUUACAUCAGCUGUGUCUGAACCCCUCCUGCAUCUGAACUGGCUACAUAGAGGGCACAGCAUGAUCAGAGAUAUGUUUUGAUGUGAGAGGAUGCCAACCCCCAGUCCCAUCAUCGCCACCUCACCUGCUUUUAAGAUGACCUUUGGGCCGGCGUGAGACACUAUUAUGUAAUUGUGAUAAACUGAGAGAAUAUUUAGGUAGCACUGUYAUUCAUUAAUCAUGUGCUGCCUUCCCUGCUCCUAUGUGCUUACCUCUUUCCCUUUCUGUCUUUUACACCUCUCCCACCACCUCUUUCUUCCUCUGUUUUUAUAAUGCACAACAGAUAUGCAUUGAAGUACAGAUUGAAACUUGUAUUUAUCACACUUGGAUAAUGAGCUUUUCAAUAAAGCAUUUCACAUUCUC